CACGUAGGGGGCAAGCGUUGUCCGGAAUCACUGGGCGUAAAGGGUGCGUAGGCGGGUCUUUAAGUCAGGGGUGAAAUCCUGGAGCUCAACUCCAGAACUGCCUUUGAUACUGAGGAUCUUGAGUUCGGGAGAGGUGAGUGGAACUGCGAGUGUAGAGGUGAAAUUCGUAGAUAUUCGCAAGAACACCAGUGGCGAAGGCGGCUCACUGGCCCGAUACUGACGCUGAGGCACGAAAGCGUGGGGAGCAAACAGG
Molecule: ribosomal RNA, 253 nt
Filed under: uncultured bacterium
Lineage: Bacteria
Description: partial 16S ribosomal RNA
Rfam family: Bacterial small subunit ribosomal RNA
Source: RNAcentral